UACGGAGGGGGCUAGCGUUGUUCGGAAUUACUGGGCGUAAAGCGCGCGUAGGCGGACCUGCAAGUCAGGGGUGAAAUCCUGGAGCUCAACUCCAGAACUGCCUUUGAUACUGAGGAUCUUGAGUUCGGGAGAGGUGAGUGGAACUGCGAGUGUAGAGGUGAAAUUCGUAGAUAUUCGCAAGAACACCAGUGGCGAAGGCGGCUCACUGGCCCGAUACUGACGCUGAGGCACGAAAGCGUGGGGAGCAAACAGG
Molecule: ribosomal RNA, 253 nt
Filed under: uncultured bacterium
Lineage: Bacteria
Description: partial 16S ribosomal RNA
Rfam family: Bacterial small subunit ribosomal RNA
Source: RNAcentral